UCAGGCCUAACACAUGCAAGUCGAGCGGCAGCGGGUCCUUCGGGAUGCCGGCGAGCGGCGGACGGGUGAGGAAUGCAUCGGAAUCUGCCUUUUUGUGGGGGAUAACGUAGGGAAACUUACGCUAAUACCGCAUACGUCCUACGGGAGAAAGUGGGGGACCGCAAGGCCUCACGCAGAAAGAUGAGCCGAUGCCGGAUUAGCUAGUUGGCGGGGUAAAGGCCCACCAAGGCGACGAUCCGUAGCUGGUCUGAGAGGAUGAUCAGCCACACUGGAACUGAGACACGGUCCAGACUCCUACGGGAGGCAGCAGUGAGGAAUAUUGCGCAAUGGACGAAAGUCUGACGCAGCCAUGCCGCGUGAAGGAUUGAAGGUCCUAUGGAUUGUAAAGUUCUUUGUACGGGAAUAAACGCUACCUCGUGAGGUAG
This 425-nucleotide ribosomal RNA is filed under the name uncultured bacterium. RNAcentral describes it as "bacterial SSU rRNA". It matches the Rfam family "Bacterial small subunit ribosomal RNA", at positions 42 to 467 of the family's 1533-position model. The record is from RNAcentral.